UCCAUUGGUGAAAUGGUUGGGAACCAAGGCCUCCUGUUCUAUAUAUGUGUUUGAACUGAUACCCUCUCCCUCCUCCCCAGUCAAACCUCAGUCUGUCUCUAACCUUCCAAAUCCUAGAAAUCUGCCGCCCCAAAAUUCCCGUCAUCUCCUACCGGCGGUUCAACCGUAAUUAACCCCAAACUUACACCCUAUAACCGCCAAGCCUCCCCAAACUCGAAUCCCUUGGAGUUUUUCCCAAAUAAAUUUUGAAUUCAUCAAAUAUAAAUCCAAAUUUACCCUAAUUUCGGAGUUUAAGGUCUCUUGAAGCUUCUGCUUGUCUUGGCUCGAAGCUGGCUAUAGUAGACCAUUCUUGACUAGAGUGGUCAUUAAGGUCUCUUCAAGCUUCGUCGAAGUGUCCCAUGUUUGUUCAUCUAUGCUAAUACUCUCCAUUUUUUGGUGAGUCAUUCAUCUCUUUUUCUUUAUUUUUAUUUUUCUAUUUUUGUCUCCUCGGAUUCUUUCCUUUUUAUUUAUUUCUUUUUUGUUCAGUUAUUUUUUUCUUAAAUGUUACAUUAGAGUAUUUGAAUGGGAUUUUGAUUUUAUUUUCGUUCAAAUUAGUUAAUUGAUAAAACAACCUAGCACAUUCUAGUUCAGGGUAGUUACAAUUUGCUUUGAUUAGUUCAAUUCCGUUUGUUUAUUGAAAUCAGUUAGCCCUAAGGUUUACUAUUUAGAUAUUGAUGCCUAGUUCUUCUCUUUUGGGUUGUUGGUUCACCCCUGUUUGGGUUGGACGAGCCCAUGGAUUUUGGUUUAGGUCUUCGCCAAUUUGACCCUGGAAUGAUUCACUCUAGGUGAAAAUUCAAGGUUGUCAAAGGGUGUUUGGGGUUAUUUGAAGCUUAGGGAAUAUUAUUCUAUCAUGGGAAGCUUAUAGAGAUAAAUCUAGGGUGGUUUGUUAGGAGAUAGUAUUCAGAUAUUUUGAAGGGGUUAAGGGGUAAAAUAACUAAGAAAAUAAGGGAUAGAAGAGGAAUUAUCUAACUAGGCUAGGGUUGCCUUAAGAGUGUCUAUAUAAAGAGCAUAUUCCUCCAUUUUUAGUAGCCAUUCAUAAUUCUAAAAAGACAUACAAAAGGUUUCUGCAUUACACUGAAAUUGGGUUGAACAUUUCUCUAAUUUUUUUCAUUGGCCAAAAAUCAUAGAAAUUUUCAUGGGAAUUCUUGGUUUACUAAGCUGAACUUGGUUGGGUUGAACCUGUAGUUUUGAUUGUUGCUGCUGCUCUUUGCUCUUAGUUUUGUUGUUUCGUUUGUUCAUAUUGGCUGAAGUUCAUGACUUUUCUCUUCUUUGUUGUUGUAACCAGGCACCCUCGCAUGCCUUGAAAAAUGCAAAAAUGAAGAAUAAAUUGCUUGACUUGAAGUUGAAAUAACAGGAUUUAUUUAGUUUGAUGCAUGAUUGCUUUCUUUCUUCAAUUUGUUGUUCUUUUGCUAUUUGUUAAGUUUGUUUAACAAUGACGUUUGGUGCCUAGUUCAUUCACACUGUUAGGGAACUGUUUGAUUUCUUUACAUGGAUUUGAGCACGUUUUACCAUAUUCAGGGAUUGUAAUAUCUGUCUAUGGCCAUCUGGUUUUGCUCUGUUGUGGGCUCGAUUUGAGCCCAAUAGCCUUCAACAUUUUCUAGUUUCUUAUGUGUAGAUUUAUUCAAUAAGAAAACGAUUUCGAUAAAGAAUUUGAUUCAAAGUUCAAUUAAAUUUCUUAUUUCGAUAAGCAUGCAAUUAAUUUGCUUAAAUUGGAGUUUGAUUGUUGGGAUAUUUUUAGAUUUUGGGCUCAAUGAUGGCCUAGUGGAAAUGGCUAAGUCGAUUGGGCUGUUUCCUUUCAUCUGCCUGUUCCCUUGGAUUAAAUUCCAUCCCAGCCCUUUCUUAUAACAAAAUAUGUUCUCGAACGUAAUUAGAGUCAUCUUCCUUGAUUCGGAAUUUUGAACCGGUGACUUGGGACACCAUAAACUAUCCCAUGUGGUGACUCUAGUUUUUAAUAAAUAACCCUAUUUUGAUUGUCACUUAAAUUGGAAAAAUAUCCUUAUACUCUUGCGGAGUAGGAAAAAAGGAGGUGUGACAAUUAGUAGGAUGGUUGGAGAUUCUAGAUCCCUUUCUAAAACACUCCUCUCUCAAAAUAGUUUCUGAAACUAGAAAAAACAACCCUAAAGUCAUUUAAUAAACAUGGUUGUGGAUGAAAUUUUCCAAAACUUAAUCUUAAAAGCCAGGUCUAUGUCGUAGACCAAACAGCAUAACGGGUAGGCUGUCCGUAAAGGGGAUCGUAGGAAUGGUCCCGAAAACUAAGCAGGCUUGGAUAGGUCUGCGAUGCAUAAUGGACCAUAGAAUCUCCUUCCAGGUUUUAUCCAGCUGGUUCUGCGAUGGAUGUGCGACCCGUUAGACAAUUAUGCGAACACAUAGUAUACCACGAAACAAUCUCCUAAAGUGACCCAUUUUCUUGCUUCACUGCACGGUGGACCUGCAAUCUGUGAAAACUUUCUGUGGUCGCAUGAUGGAUCACAAAAUGCCAUGUUCUGCAACAAGUUUUCUUCAACUCCCCAAUGCACAGUUCAACCCAAAAAUACGUACCGCAGUGAGCAAGCCUUGCCGUGAAGAUUUUCUACAACCCUCAAAUACAUUAGCCUACCUCAGCACCAUGAAUCCUCGAGUAAUAGGUAAUGUUUAAUGGGGCCUUACACUUAUCUAGAGGUUAUAAGUCUAAGAAACUUUAUAUUCUUUCUUUCUUUGUCGUGCAUCUUCAUUCUAUCAUAUGUUUGAAUAUUUCUUCUCUUAUUCUAUCAUGGUAAGGACACAUGCAUCCUGAAGAUGAUCAAACGCCAGCCAAUUUUUAGCCAUUACCAGGAGUAGAGGUAGGGGCCAACGGAAAGGUAGAGCUUAGCCUACAGCACGCGUAGCAACACCUACAAUAGAGCCUCAAAUAGAGCAGGAUGAUAAGAUCUCAGUUCAAACCAAGCCAUUAGGACCAGCUAAGGUCCCGGAGGGGUUCAUUGCUACCCUAGUGCUUUAGGACAGCUUAGUCCGCAAGGUUGGCCUCAUGUAGAGUAUUGCAUAAGCAAGUAUUUUUUAUGUGGCACCAGUUGUUUCUUAGGCCAAAGAAGGAAUUCAGACUCCCGCUGCUCAUACCCCUAAGUUGAUAAACCAUGGUUAUCAGACCCUAACAGUUCGACCAGUUAGGAUGGCUCGACCUAUUUUCUCUAGAUAGCUUGUGGAUAGGCUCGCAAUUUUAGCUAAUGAUCUAAAGAGGUUGGACAAGUUAACCAAGUUGUGUCCCCCUCACUUUAGUGCUACACCUUCCGAGGACCCCCCCUCCCCCCNNNNNNNNNNNNNNNNNNNNNNNNNNNNNNNNNNNNNNNNNNNNNNNNNNNNNNNNNNNNNNNNNNNNNNNNNNNNNNNNNNNNNNNNNNNNNNNNNNNNNNNNNNNNNNNNNNNNNNNNNNNNNNNNNNNNNNNNNNNNNNNNNNNNNNNNNNNNNNNNNNNNNNNNNNNNNNNNNNNNNNNNNNNNNNNNNNNNNNNNNNNNNNNNNNNNNNNNNNNNNNNNNNNNNNNNNNNNNNNNNNNNNNNNNNNNNNNNNNNNNNNNNNNNNNNNNNNNNNNNNNNNNNNNNNNNNNNNNNNNNNNNNNNNNNNNNNNNNNNNNNNNNNNNNNNNNNNNNNNNNNCCACAAGACGUCUUGGACCAUUGUUAUAUGAAUUAUGCAAUUUGACACUAGAGGAGUCCAACAGAGUUGAUUUCACAAUCUUUCAUAUGCAUGGUUCCGCUAAUAGAUGGAGGUAGAUUUCUGAGAUAGGUAGGAAAACCAGAUCACCUCCUCUUAUAUGGGCUCGGUCUUGCAGUUGUUCUUGGAGAAGUUUAUUGCCUUCACUUAAUUCAACCACCUUUAAUAAGGUGGCAUGACCAUUAUUCAAUGUGAGACUAGAUUUGUUUCUUUUUCUCGCCAUCCAGCUAUCAUUAUCCCUAUUGAGAGGGAGAAGGUGUGGAAGUUCUCCCUGAAAUCACAAUACCAGAAUGUAUGCCCCUAGAUAGUGGACAAAAUUAGAAGUUGGACAUCCAAACUCAUAUCUUAUGCUGGAAGAAUCCAACUUAUCAAAAGUGUCCUGUUUGAAAUGCAAACUUAUUGGGCCCAGAUAUUCCUCAUUCCAAAAAAAUUUAUAAAACUCGUAAAUAGAAUUUGCAGGAAUUACCUGUGGACUGGUAGUCAUGAAACUAGUCAUAGGAAUCCAAUCGCCUGGGAAACACUGUGUAAACCAGUGGCAGCAGGAGGUUUGAACAUUAUCUCCUAUGAAAGAUGGAAUAAAGGUGCACUAUCAAAACUUCUCUGGGCCUUAAUGUCUAAGAAAGACAAACUCUGGAUCAAAUGGAUCCAUUGUCACUAUAUAAAGAAAAAAGACAUUAAUACUAUGAAAAUUCCUAAACAAACUAGAUGGCUCGUUAGGAAAUUGUUUGGCGCAAGAGAAUGGUGGGCAGCUGAUGGAAUAGGAAUGCAAACAUGUACAAAAAAUGGGCAAUUUAGCAUCAGGAAGGCAUACAUUCAGACCACUCCACAAUAUCCCAAGGUUCGAUGGAAAAAAUUAUUGAUGGUGACUGGCAUGCUCCCGAUACAGAAAUACAUCUUAUGGAUGGCGCUGCAUAGACACUUGGCAACAGCUGACAGAUUAGCUAAAUGAGGAAUUCACAUUAAUCAAUCCUGCGUUUUAUGUGGAAGAGACACUGAAGAAACACACGACCAUUUAUACUUUGACUGCUUAUACUACCAAACACUGUGGCAAAGUAUGUUACAAUGGUUGAAGUAUCAAAGAACGACAUCUGCUCCCAAAAUAGAAAUACAUCUUAUGGAUGGCGAUGCAUAGACGCUUGGCAACAGUUGACAGAUUAGCUAAAUGGGGAAUUCACAUUAAUCAAUCCUGCAAUUUAGAUGGAAGAUACACUAAAGAAACACACGAACAUUUAUACUUUGACUGCUUAUACUCCAAAACAUUGUGGAAAGGUAUGUUACAAUGGUUGAAGUAUCAAAGAACGACAGGUACGUGGGAAACAGAAGUUCAAUGGUUAACUGCUAAUGUUAAUAGCAGAAACCUCAGAAAAACCAACCUAGGUGUGGUGUUUGCACAGUAGUUUACAACAUCUGGAUGGAAAGGAACAACAGAAGGUUUCAACAAUCAAGCAGAGACGCCAAAAAUUGAGCAAAGGAGAUUACACUUCAAGUGCACUUUACUGGCAUAAAGCUAUCUAAGUGGUCACCCAUUCUACAGAACAUUAACAGCUAUCAUUCAUGCGAGUAUCCACAAUUGUAGCAAUUUUCUCUCUGUGAUAGGAUAUUAGCUUAACAACAACAGUUAUAGAGUUUCAAAUUGAUUGUGCUGUUGAGAUCUGUUCUAGAGUCCAAAAGAAUAGAUGAUGUAUAUUUGCCAAAUAGUUUAAAUAAAACAAAAACUUUCUUCUAAAACAAAAGAAGGUGUGGAGGUUCAAAUAGGGUAUUAUAUAUGGCAUCAGACUUCAAGUGGAUAAAGAGACCAAGACUAAGAUUUCUUUUACUCAAUUAGUGGAGAUUUGUAAGUCUCUGUUAAAACUUCCUAAUGAUUUAAGAUUUUAAAAUGCGCUAGCUGUGUUUGGGAAUAACAUAUUUGAGUAUUAAAUGAUACCUAUGGGAUAGAGCCACAUCAUUUAGAUAAGAAAAUGUAUUUUUAAGGUAUGUUGGAAUGUACUAAGAAGUUUUGUGAAUGGCAAGAAUUUGUGUGAAACAAGUUGUAUAUAUUAAGUGGAAAAGGAUGUCUCAAUUAGAAUCAGAUCCAAAUUUAAAAAAAUUCCACUCCAAAAAUAUAAAGACAUAGGUGGUGAUAGGCCUAUCAGAUUAAAUCCCUUUGAGUCUAGUUUCUAAUUCAUCAAAUCAUUUGUCAUUUGGAUAUGCAUAAAGAAAGUUAUGGCCAUUUAACCAGACCGAUGCCAUAUGCGCAGCCGCACAUAUAAGGGGGUUUCUGCCUCGUGUGUGCGGUCACUAACCCAAGUGCAUGAUCGCGCAUGUAGGAGCCCUAUAUAACCCCAAGGCCGGGUAGAGAGAUGGACUAAGUCAUUUCUUUGAGCAACGACUUGCAUAUCAAGGGAAAUCCAUCCAACACUUACCUCACAUGAACAAAGGUAAUGUUUUUGCAGUAAUUUUGAGUUGAUUAUACUCCAAUACACUUCUAUUAACUAGGACUAAUCUUGACAAUCCAUAAAUUUCCAUUCAAAUUCCCAAAUUGACCAAGAACAAUACAAGUUGGGAUUUUCAAGACUCUCACUACUAGAGGUAUAUCUAACAUCUCUAACUAAUUCAUGGUGAUUAUUUGUUUAUGAAAUAUGUGUUAAGACUUAUGGGAUGGUGAAUGAAAAUCACAAGUACAUAACAUGGGUUGUGUUGGUGUGGUAGAUAUUGUAAAAAUUAUUUAAAUGAUGAGACUGAUGGUUUGGGAGUGAAUUAAUGGGCAUGCAUGUGCUAAUGGAAGUUGUAGAUUGCCUAGGGGCGACUGUGAUGUGAAUCAUUGGUGUGGAAGGUGGUUGUUAGGUGAAUAAAUUCCAUUUGAAGGUGGUUCUAGGAAUAUAUGCACAUUAGAUGUUUGAUAUAAAGUAUAAAUGACUUAAAGUUUAGAAAUCUUGCUUAUAUUGGUGCAAUUGUGUUGCAUUGUUGUAGAUCGAAGUUGUUCAAUAUGGCAGAACGCCAUACUACUAUUAAAGGGAGAAUUUCAGGUAUGUUAGCUAAAAUACUCACAUAGAAUUUAAUUUCAUUAUGUUCCCACAAGUUUCAAGUAUGGUUGGAUCAAGUUCCUAAUUCCCAUAUUCUGAGUGGUUCCUAAUAAAUUCGACUAUUUCGAAUGAACCUUUUGUGUGUGUGUGUGUGUGUGUAUAUAUAUAUAUAUAUGUUCAUAAUGUGUUUUGGAUGCUCUUAUCAUAUUAUGUUACCCUCUAGGAAUGUGUUCAAAGUAUGAUAUGUGUAUUAAAAUGUUAUGACUUUGAGUCAUUUUUCAAAUGAAAAUCCAUUAUGCUUUACUUGGAAACAAUACUCCAUGCGUCUAAUACUCAUAUUACUCAUAUAUAUAAUUAAGACCUUGAUUUUGAAUACUCAUAUUGUUGAUAAUCUAUAUAUAUAUGCUUGAAAGUGAAAUAAGUGAGUUGGAGAUAUAAGGUGUAGUCAUCAUGCCAAGAAUGAAGGUUAUACUUGUCACUAGUAGUUCCCGUGAAAUGGGGUGAUAUGAGAAAGGUCAUGAAAUGAGCUUUGAUUCAAUUUUUCCAAAAUUACUUCAAAAUAUAUUAGCCUAAGAGCAUAUGUACUCAAGUCAUGCCCAAAUCUUGUUGUUUUAACUAAUGUUAUGCUUUGUAAGUAUUCCUAAUGUGUUUAAGCUCUUACAUAUUCAUGAGUUGAAAUUGUGUAUUGCCGUUUUUGGAAAAAUUACUUCAAUAAUAAAUGGUGUGUUACUCGUCUAUGAUUUUAACUCGUGCUUCGAUUGGAAAUCAUUUUACUUCAUUCCUUGGAAAGAAAUCCAUUGUGUUUAAGGUCUUCUUUUCUAAUGAAAUUAAAGUUGUGAUUUCCAGAAUAUUCUAUUUGUUAAUGUUCGUGAUGAUGAUCCUUGAAAGUAAUGAAAUGAAAGUGCGGAAUAUGAAAAUACUGACACUGUACCACAAAAGAAGAAUCAUAUGUAUGUCCAAGAGAGCUAAUGAAAUAAUGAUGUUGUAAGCUGUUGAAAGUACCAAAAAAUCUAUAUAUAUUGGGUGAAAGGUUAUGAGGUGAAUGUAUUUGUACUUCUGUUUUCCUUGUGUGCAAAACUAAUAAUAUUUUUAGGAGUAUCAUUAGCAAACCAAGGAAGGGUGGGUCGUAACGCCCACACCCGAAACUAAACGUGCUGGUGUAGGAGUGGAUUGUGAUUAUUCCCCUAAUUUAGCAUGAGAUUUAUAUUCCCCUCAAUUAGGAUGAGAUUGUUGAUAGCCCUGGAUUUAAAGUCAACUCACACAGCAUAUAUGGGAAGGCGGCCUAGCCAAUCGGGUAGAGAUCGGACGCCAUGUUGCACAUAUGGUGGUACUAUUCUUGGUAACACUUCUUUUGCAUCACAUGUCAAAAUACAUUAUUCGUGGGGAGAUGGCCUAGCUGAUCGGGACUGAUUGAGCUCCAUGCUAAAAAUAUGGUGGUAUAUCGGUGAUAAUGAUCUCUCAACCAAAAACAUAUAUUAUUUUCAUAUUUUAAAAAUUGUUCUAGAUUAACUUGGCCUUUGGAUAUCAUUGAUCAUUUCUUGUUGUUUCUACGGUUUUUCCUUUAUUAUAUUGUCAUUCUCUUUCGAAAGAGGACAUUUAGCUUUACAUAUUAGUACUAUUCCUAUAUGUACCUACAUCCUGGGGUGCUACAACUUCAAUGGAUGCAGGUGGUUCAUCAGCAGGCACCUUUGGUCAUUGUUAGCAGUUACUCUCUAUUCAGCAGGUUUUGAUGAGCCCUACUCUAUUUCGGGCAUAAUGUCAGUUGAUGCUAUUCUUUGUGUUUUGAGGUAUAGCGGGGGCCUUGAUGCCGGCACUUUCAUACUACUCUUUUGUUGUACUUAGAGGCUCCAUAAACAGAUUAGGGGUGGUGUUUGAUGUUAGGAACUGAACCAGAAGUGUUGAUAUUUGGCAAACAUAUUUUUCAUCAUGUCUAUGAACUUGUAUAUUUUGGACAUCGUAAAUGAAUCUCUUUUGAAUAAUGGUAAAAGAAUGUGGAACACUUCAACCUUUUCAUGUCUAUCACUUUUAUUGAUUCUUAUCAUUAAUGGGCAAGGUUGGGUAGAAGGCAUCUCUCAGGAUUGCUUAAUUGAGGCAUCUCGGUUGAUUGCUGGUCGCGCUCCAUGAGGUCGGGGCGUGACAAGUGGUAUCAAAGCCUAUGGUUUUAAAGUUUUCUAGAAUGUCUCGGAGCCAUAUCUAGUAGAGUCCUUCUUAUCGGUAUGUUGUCAAUCACAUCUAUAACGGGGAGGAUACUUGGAUAUUUAAGAAUGUCACCCUUCUUUAACACUCAUAAUCGUGCAAUAGAGCUCUAGAUAGGGAGCUAAUUUCCUCUUUAUGUCUCAUUUUUCAAAUGAGUAAUCCACGAGUUCGAAGAAUCAAGGAGAGAAUGACCGCGCCAUUAAAUCUGGGGAGAUUACAUGAGAGUUCUUUGGGAGAAUAGGUCGAGCCGUGGAGGGAUUGGAGGAAGUUGUUUCUAGGGUAAAUGUUAUUUUUCCAGCAAAUGUCACUACACCACCGGAUCAUGUGGUGGGAUCUCUUAAGAAACGAAAAAGGGUUGUAGGCACAAAUAAGAUGAAUUAUUUGAUUGUUGAGAAAUGUCACUUGGGGAAAUAUUGGAUCACCCUUUAAAUAUGUUAUGGUUGUGGAAAGUGAUGGAACAAGAAGAACAAAUGCCCUAGGUUUGGUACACCCAUCCCGGUCUGCCUGACAUGCAAUAAGAAACAUUUGGCGUCGUGUUGUGAGUAUAAUCAGCAGCAUGUUAGGGGUGGUAGAUCUGGGAAACUCCAAAGGAGCACAUAUCAAACCAGUAAAAGGAUUGUUACUCUCGCAUUUGAAGCCUUGAGGAAGGAUAAGAAUGAUGGUUAUGAUGUAUGCAAAAAGGGUAAAUAUCUUGUCAGUGCGAUCAGUCAGUUCAUUGGACCUCAUCCCUAUUGUAUGAAGUGUAGGUGAUGUCAUUCGGAAGUGUGUCACUAUGGUACCAAUGUGUGCUAUGAGUGUGGUAUGAGGGAUUACAUUCAGUGAGAUUGUCGUUCGUCUCGCAGGAGUGCGGCACAACCAGCACAUUCCACAGCUACUAUAUCCACAGCGCCUCCCCCAGCUUGGGGCACUAUAGAUCCCUCAGGGCGUGGAGUGAUUAGGGGUGGUAUCAAGAACUCGGGAGGGCCCAAUAGGUUUUAUGCUAUGAGGAGGCAUCAAAAUUUGGAGGCUUCUCCCGAUGUGAUUGCAUAUAUAUCGACUAUCCAAUCUCAUGAUUUGUAUGCUCUUAUUAAUCUUGACUCCACUUUUUCAUAUGUCAGUCCUUUUUUUCUAUGGAAUUUGGGAUUGAAACGGAACAACUUUAUGAGUCGUUAUCUGCAUCUACUCUUCGAAUGAGAUGUAUCAUUCGUGAAUCCUCUUUAUCACAAUUAUCUUACUUACAACCUCUUGAGAAAUUGAGUUCCAUAAUAGUUUCAUUGAAUUGAGUCUAUAAUGAUUUUUCUGAAUUGAGUGACAACCCUAGGUUAAUACUUCCCACUUGCUUCCCUAAAUUCUCAAAAUGGGACUAUGUCGGUAAAUUUCCUACAAAACCUUUUUAUUCAAAUGGAUAACAUUUUCUCGCUUGUGCUUAUGCAUGCAUUAUCAUAAAAUUUACCUAUGUGGUAUCAAAACUAAUGUAAAGCAGCCUAGUGUUGAGAUCCUUCUUGUGCCACUCUUAUUCUCUCCAGUGUAUGUGGCUCAUAUGGUUUGAACAUUCACUUUACUCCUUCGUGAACAUUGUCAUGAAAGCUUUUCACUGUUUUGUAACAUGAGAGCAUAUCUCAGCACCUAUCAUAUUUGUUCAUGUCAAUUGAAAGAGUCACUUGUCCGCGUAAAGUACCUCUGAAACUUGGGAUUCUCACAAAUUUGUAAUAGGAAUAUCUGUUGUUCACCCAUCUCAAUAUAACUUUCAUGUCCACCUAGAUCAUGCCUCAGUGAGUAAAUCACUUUUUUCUUACUAUUGUAGUUGCCCGUGAAGUGGACUGGCAUUGCAGCUUGAGAGUUUUCUGGCAGAUACAUGUCUAGCUCAAAGGAAAGUGUUCAUUCUCUCUAACCAAUACAUGAUUUUAUCCCAGUAUUAAGAUGCCCUAGCUAUGUGGUUGCACUCAUUAAAGGUUAAAAUUAGAUGUUUUUAUAUUUUGGCACAUAUCAUGAGCAUAUUUAUUUGAAAGGUCAGUUUUUCAUAACUCUAACCCUCACAUAUAGGAUCAACUAUCUAGAACGGUUAACUUGUUAGAAUGAUAAUAAUCUCACAAGUAUCCAACUUCCUUUUCAACCUCAAGGGCUUGUGGCAUAGAUUCCUUGUUUCAGUUAAUGUUAAGAGCGUAACGCAAUUUCAUGAAUUUUGAAACCCAUAUCACAUUCAGGGUGCCAGAAUAUUCUUAAUUCGAGUUAAACUGAUUUUCCCUACACUUCAAGAGAUUACUGACAUCACGUACUUGGAUAUUCUUCUUGAGGCUUAUUAUAGCCGAACAAGGCAUAUAUGGGAUGAAACAAUUUGUUAUUUUUCCUUUCAUAACUCAUAGUCUUCCAAGAAUAACUGACGCUAAUGUCUUUAUCCUCUUGAUCAUGCCUCAUAUAUGUCACAUAUGUAGAAAGAAACAUUUAUUUUACAUAUCGGGAUCAUGAACAUGGUUCCCACAUUAUCAAUAUGUACUAGUAAACUCUAUGUCCCACUUGUCUAAUCGAUAAUGUCAUCACAUUGAUUAACCGUGUCACCACAAUUAGUAGUAACCUUCAUGUCUCUUAGUAUUUAAUCUCCUGCAACUCAACAUAAUGAUGGAUUCUUGAAUAAUUCUAUCCCAAUCUUAAACAUUGUUGUUCUAAUUUAUAGUAAUCUAUGGGGGUUGAGGGCUAAAACAUGUCAAAGAAGAAGCAUCAUACUAUGGUCAAAAAUAUUGGUAGGAAAUAUUAUGGUCAUAUUCAUGCCAGCACAUCUUAGAAUAAUUAUUGAAGGUCAUCAAAGGUUUACUUCGGGUGUUUGUCAUAGAGAUUUAGAGAUGAAGGAAGUGAAUGAGAUAUUCUUAAGAUUUCCCCAUGAAGAAAUUAUGUGAAUUUCUAUAUAAAGGUUAAGUAUGUGUAUCUACCAUAGGCCAUAUGGAAUCUUGAAGGAGAUAGGCCGAUAUAUAAGUAUGAUGUCUCCCCAUCGUUGUUCUCCAAUCACCUGGUGCUUCAUGUGUCUAUGUCAAAGAAAGUAGUUGGAGAUCUUCUGCUUAUCGAUCAGUUGGAGUCUAUUGAAGGUAAAGUUAAUUGAUAACUAUCUUAUGAGAGGUACCUACAUUGUCAUCCAUGUUAUACAAGCCAAAAUGUUUGGAUUUCCUCCAUGAAAGUGCUACAACGAAGUCUGUGAGUUGAGGAGGUUACCUCGAAGGACGAG
RNAcentral lists this long non-coding RNA (12113 nucleotides) under Nicotiana benthamiana. Its description in RNAcentral is "long non-coding RNA (NBEN_LNC008293)". Lineage: Eukaryota; Viridiplantae; Streptophyta; Magnoliopsida; Solanales; Solanaceae. The record is from RNAcentral.